GAUGAACGCUGGCGGCGUGCCUAAUACAUGCAAGUCGAGCGAACAGACGAGGAGCUUGCUCCUCUGACGUUAGCGGCGGACGGGUGAGUAACACGUGGAUAACCUACCUAUAAGACUGGGAUAACUUCGGGAAACCGGAGCUAAUACCGGAUAAUAUAUUGAACCGCAUGGUUCAAUAGUGAAAGACGGUUUUGCUGUCACUUAUAGAUGGAUCCGCGCCGCAUUAGCUAGUUGGUAAGGUAACGGCUUACCAAGGCAACGAUGCGUAGCCGACCUGAGAGGGGGAUCGGCCACACUGGAACUGAGACACGGUCCAGACUCCUACGGGAGGCAGCAGUAGGGAAUCUUCCGCAAUGGGCGAAAGCCUGACGGAGCAACGCCGCGUGAGUGAUGAGGGUCUUCGGAUCGUAAAACUCUGUUAUUAGGGAAGAACAAAUGUGUAAGUAACUAUGCACGUCUUGACGGUACCUAAUCAGAAAGCCACGGCUAACUACGUG
This 497-nucleotide ribosomal RNA is filed under the name uncultured bacterium. RNAcentral's name for it is "partial 16S ribosomal RNA". It matches the Rfam family "Bacterial small subunit ribosomal RNA", at positions 28 to 507 of the family's 1533-position model. The record is from RNAcentral.